Molecule: ribosomal RNA, 253 nt
Filed under: uncultured bacterium
Lineage: Bacteria
Description: partial 16S ribosomal RNA
Rfam family: Bacterial small subunit ribosomal RNA
Source: RNAcentral
UACGAACCGUGCGAGCGUUGUUCGGAAUCACUGGGCUUAAAGGGCGCGUAGGCGGGCUGCCGCGUCCGGGGUGAAAUCCUCCCGCUCAACGGGAGAACGGCCUCGGAUACGGGCGGCCUCGAGGGGGGUAGGGGCAUCUGGAACUGUGAGUGGAGCGGUGAAAUGCGUUGAUAUUCACAGGAACUCCGGUGGCGAAGGCGAGGUGCUGGACCCCAUCUGACGCUGAGGCGCGAAAGCCAGGGGAGCGAACGGG